This 244-nucleotide unclassified non-coding RNA is filed under the name Cadophora sp. Its description in RNAcentral is "partial contains small subunit ribosomal RNA, internal transcribed spacer 1, and 5.8S ribosomal RNA". The stretch from base 1 to 46 matches the Rfam family "Eukaryotic small subunit ribosomal RNA", at positions 1786 to 1831 of the family's 1831-position model. The record is from RNAcentral. Lineage: Eukaryota; Fungi; Ascomycota; Leotiomycetes; Helotiales; Ploettnerulaceae.
AAGUCGUAACAAGGUCUCCGUAGGUGAACCUGCGGAGGGAUCAUUACCGAGUUCAUGCCCUUCGGGGUAGACCUCCCACCCUGUGUUAUCAUUACCUUUGUUGCUUUGGCGGGCCGCUAGGCCUCGGCCCAGCUACCGGCUCCCGCUGGUAAGUGCCCGCCAGAGGACCCCAAACCCUGAAUAUUAGUGUCGUCCGAGUACUAUACAAUAGUUAAAACUUUCAACAACGGAUCUCUUGGUUCUG